AGCAGCCGCGGUAAUUCCAGCUCCAAUAGCGUAUAUUAAAGUUGUUGCAGUUAAAAAGCUCGUAGUUGAACUUCAGGCCUGGCUGGACGGUCCGCCUUCUGGGUGAGUACUGUCUGUGGUCGGGUCCUACCUUCUGGCGAAGCGUCAUGGCCUUCACCGGCCGUGGCGGGGAGCCAGGACUUUUACUGUGAAAAAAUUAGAGUGUUCAAAGCAGGCACGCGCUUGAAUACAUUAGCAUGGAAUAAUGGAAUAGGACAGUGGUUCUAUUUGUUGGUUUCUAGGACCGUUGUAAUGAUUAAUAGGGAUAGUUGGGGGCAUUAGUAUUCAAUUGUCAGAGGUGAAAUUCUUGGAUUUAUUGAAGACUAACUACUGCGAAAGCAUUUGCCAAGGAUGUUUUCAUUAAUCAAGAACGAAAGUUAGGGGAUCGAAGACGAUCAGAUACCGUCGUAGUCUUAACCAUAAACUAUGCCGACUAGGGAUCGGAUGAUGUUAAUUUUUAAUGACUCAUUCGG
RNAcentral lists this ribosomal RNA (512 nucleotides) under uncultured Glomus. Its description in RNAcentral is "SSU rRNA". It matches the Rfam family "Eukaryotic small subunit ribosomal RNA", at positions 569 to 1083 of the family's 1831-position model. The record is from RNAcentral. Lineage: Eukaryota; Fungi; Glomeromycota; Glomeromycetes; Glomerales; Glomeraceae.